RNAcentral lists this ribosomal RNA (468 nucleotides) under uncultured bacterium. RNAcentral's name for it is "partial 16S ribosomal RNA". It matches the Rfam family "Bacterial small subunit ribosomal RNA", at positions 28 to 507 of the family's 1533-position model. The record is from RNAcentral.
GACGAACGCUGGCGGCGUGCCUAACACAUGCAAGUCGAACGGAAAGGCCCUGCUUUUGUGGGGUGCUCGAGUGGCGAACGGGUGAGUAACACGUGAGUAUCCCGCCCUUGACUUUGGGAUAUCUUCAGGAAACUGGGGCUAAUACCGCAUAGGAGCUCCUGCUGCAUGGUGGGGGUUGGAAAGUUUCGGCGGUUGGGGAUAGACUAGCGGCUUAUCCGCUGGUUGGUGGAGUAGUGGCUGACCAAGCUUGUGACGGAUAGCCUGCCUGGGAGGGUGACCGGCCACAUUGGGCCUGAGGGACGGCCCAGACUCCUACGGGAGGCAGCAGGGGGGAAUAUUGCACAACGGGCGGGAGCGUGAGGCGGCGGCGCCGCGUGCGGGAUGACGGCCUACGGGUUGUAAACCGCUUUCGCCUGUGACGAAGCGUGAGUGACGGUAAUGGGUAAAGAAGCACCGGCUAACUACGUG